RNAcentral lists this non-coding RNA (190 nucleotides) under Spirochaetota bacterium. RNAcentral describes it as "Spirochaetes bacterium (wastewater metagenome) 6S RNA". It matches the Rfam family "6S / SsrS RNA". From Rfam's summary of the family: E. coli 6S RNA was the first non coding RNA to be sequenced, but its function was unknown until recently. Lineage: Bacteria; Pseudomonadati; Spirochaetota. The record is from RNAcentral.
ACGACCCUGCGAUGUUGGUGAAAUGAGAAUUGUUUUCUGCUCAACCUAUUAUUAAGGGAUUCCAAUAUAAUUUUGUCGAUUAUCUGUUUUACGGGCUGUCCCGCGAAAUUAUAAGAAGCAAAGUUGAGGAAACCCACCUGGAUUAUCCGGGCGUUAAACUACUCUUUGCCACGGCAUUUGCGGGGUUUUU